RNAcentral lists this ribosomal RNA (253 nucleotides) under uncultured bacterium. RNAcentral describes it as "partial 16S ribosomal RNA". It matches the Rfam family "Bacterial small subunit ribosomal RNA", at positions 524 to 776 of the family's 1533-position model. The record is from RNAcentral.
UACGUAGGGUGCAAGCGUUAAUCGGAAUUACUGGGCGUAAAGCGUGCGCAGGCGGAUUUGUAAGUCUGUCGUGAAAGCCCCGGGCUCAACCUGGGAAUUGCGUUGGAGACUGCAAGGCUUGAAUCUGGCAGAGGGGGGUAGAAUUCCACGUGUAGCAGUGAAAUGCGUAGAGAUGUGGAGGAACACCGAUGGCGAAGGCAGCCCCCUGGGUCAAGAUUGACGCUCAUGCACGAAAGCGUGGGGAGCGAACAGG